Ctenopharyngodon idella (grass carp) is the source of this 431-nucleotide long non-coding RNA. RefSeq lists it as uncharacterized. The record is from RefSeq and is a predicted model, not a curated record. NCBI's taxonomy places the organism in Eukaryota, Metazoa, Chordata, Actinopteri, Cypriniformes, Xenocyprididae. The transcript is spliced from 3 exons.
GUUAGUGUGUUUAGUUAAAUUGCUGAAAAUAACGAGUGUUUUGUCACUGUAAUAUUACUUUGGUCACAAUAACGGAUACCAAACACGAGAGACGCCAGAACGUCGCAAAGGUUUCCAAGCUUUCAAUCAUCGCAUUUUCGAGACAAAUCAACUUGCAAACCACUUGGAAUUCUUCACGGACCACUGCCUUUGAGAGCACUGCCCCACUGACAAACUAAAGUCCCCCGUGUCAUCAAGAAAUUUGGCCUUUACUCCUUGUUUCCGAUGGACUGGAACUGUCUUUGACCUUUCGCCUCAGCCCAGUGGUGUCAUUUGUUUGAAAAUACUUGCCCUACUUGAAGUUUCACAGAGGUGAGUUCCUCUUGCUUGUUGCUGAUUUUUCAUUUCAGGAUGUGCUUUCUGUCAAAGAGAGGGUUAGCUGCUCCAUUAAA